GCAGAUAUAGUUUAAACAAAACGUUAGGCCGUGACUCUAAAAAUAAGAGAUAAAACCUCUUUAUCUGCC
Non-coding RNA from Megalops cyprinoides (Indo-Pacific tarpon), 69 nucleotides. Lineage: Eukaryota; Metazoa; Chordata; Actinopteri; Elopiformes; Megalopidae. The record is from the annotation of a RefSeq genome assembly.